This 426-nucleotide ribosomal RNA is filed under the name uncultured bacterium. RNAcentral's name for it is "bacterial SSU rRNA". It matches the Rfam family "Bacterial small subunit ribosomal RNA", at positions 356 to 774 of the family's 1533-position model. The record is from RNAcentral.
GGGGAAUUUUGGACAAUGGGGGCAACCCUGAUCCAGCAAUGCCGCGUGUGUGAAGAAGGCCUGCGGGUUGUAAAGCACUUUAAGUGUGGAGAAAGGCCAGUGCGUAAAUAGCGCAGUGGAUUGAUAGUACACACAGAAUAAGCACCGGCUAACUCUGUGCCAGCAGCCGCGGUAAUACAGAGGGUGCAAGCGUUAAUCGAAAUUACUGGGCGUAAAGCGCAUGUAGGUGGUUUAAUAAGUUUGAUGGGAGAGCCCUGGGCUUAACCGGGGAAUGGCGUUGAAGACUGUUAGACUCGAGUCGAAGAGAGGGUUGUGGAAUUUCCGGUGUAGCGGUGAAAUGCGUAGAGAUCGGAAAGAACACCAGUGGCGAAGGCGGCAACCUGGCUUCAGACUGACACUGAGAUGCGAAAGCGUGGGGAGCAAACG